RNAcentral lists this ribosomal RNA (445 nucleotides) under uncultured bacterium. RNAcentral's name for it is "bacterial SSU rRNA". It matches the Rfam family "Bacterial small subunit ribosomal RNA", at positions 354 to 796 of the family's 1533-position model. The record is from RNAcentral.
GUGAGGAAUAUUGGUCAAUGGGCGCAAGCCUGAACCAGCCAUCCCGCGUGCAGGAAGACAGCGCUAUGCGUUGUAAACUGCUUUUCUGAAGGAAGAAUAACCGCUACGUGUAGCGGGACGACGGUACUUCAGGAAUAAGCAUCGGCUAACUCCGUGCCAGCAGCCGCGGUAAUACGGAGGAUGCAAGCGUUAUCCGGAUUCAUUGGGUUUAAAGGGUGCGCAGGCGGACUUAUAAGUCAGUGGUGAAAUCUCCCGGCUCAACCGGGAAACUGCCAUUGAUACUGUAAGUCUUGAGUUCGGUUGAGGUAGGCGGAAUGUGUAAUGUAGCGGUGAAAUGCUUAGAUAUUACACAGAACACCAAUUGCGUAGGCAGCUUACUGGACCGACACUGACGCUGAGGCACGAAAGCGUGGGGAGCAAACAGGAUUAGAAACCCUAGUAGUCC